GUCAGUAGUAGAGCACGCUGCUCCACACACACACCCUUAUACACACACAGAGCACAGAAGACGGAAGAAGCUGAGUCAGAAACGUCCACCCUUUCACACACACACUUGCAUGUGUAUAUGGAUAUGUGGCAUUCCUAGACACCAUCUCUAUCUAUCUCUCUCCUUUACUUUACCUUUGGUUGUGCUCUCUCCCUCCCUCUUUCCCUCUUCCCUUCUCCUUCUCUAGUUUUCCUUCUGCUCUGCCUGUCGCUGGCAGUUGUCUGAGAGAGUGUGUGUUGAAGAAAACAGAAGAGAAGAGGUGCAGGACGGGUCAGGAUGCUGUGGACUCUGCAGAUGUAUGCGUCUACAGGUUUCCCUCAGGGCUGACUGAAGACAAGACAAAAACACUCGAGGCACCAGGAUCCUAACACACAGCUUGUCUGUUUUUUUCUCCUUUGGUUCUCAAUCGGUCCAUCAGUUGUUCAUCUUUGUCCUCCUUUUUGGUGCUUUUCCACGGGUUAUUUUGGAAGCCACCCAGAAGAGAAAAUGAGGUCCAGGAUGCCUCAAGCCGCUUUGCAGCCCUUUUUUCUAGGACUGUUGCUGUCACUGGUGGACGCCAAAGGAACCUUCUAUGGAACAGGCCAUGGGAACCCGCUCUAUGGAGGAGGCCAUGGCAACAGAUACAACCUGUACAAGUCUGGAGCCAACUCACACUACAGCCCGGGCAAACCCUUGGGCCGUCACAAAAACCACUGUGCGUAUGUGGUCCAGAAGAACACCACGUGUACGAUUGAGGACGGCAUGGCCACCUACGUGAAGGCAGAGUACACCACCAAGUGCAUCUGGGGUCAGAAGUGUCCUGUCGUCAUGUACCGGACCUUCUACAAGCCUAAGUAUAAGGUGGGCUAUAAGAGAAUUACUGCGCUGGAGUGGAGGUGUUGUCCUGGCUACUCUGGGGAGAACUGCAACGAUGGACCCACCUCUCUGCCCCCUUUCAAAGGGGGUGCCCCACACCGACCAGGGAUCAAGGGGUACCCCCAUGGGCACCCCCAACCUCCCCUGAUCCAAAAACCUGUCCCUGGUGGGGCUAAUCUGGAGCCAGGGAGCCCCUUCCCAAAUCAGCCUAAUAGCAGAACCAUCCCCACUGGACAACUGCCCACCGGGAACGGCAAACCCAACUAUGUUGGUGGAGACCGUCUCGAUCGCAUGGAGGAGGACCUGCUUCGUCUGACCCAGGAUCUGGACAUUCUGAACGGGGUGAUGGCCAGCCUAGAAGACCGCCUGCACCUCUCUCUCCGGGAGGACACAAAAAAUAUGCUGGGCUCCUUGCUCUCCACCGUCCCCCGUCUUUCAGACACCUCGGUUGGCUUUGGGGUGAUCCCAGACGGGACCCCAGAUGGCCUGGAGGGGGGAGAGGGACUCCCUGGGUUCGGAGACCUGGCUGGGAGGGUGACAGAGGUAAAGGAUGAGCUCAAAGCCAAAGGACAUGUGCUUGAGGAGAUACAGGGCAUGGUUCUGGGCCAUGAAGGGCAGCUGAAAAAGUUGUUGGAAGCUGCGACUGGCAGGCCCAUCACUGGGUCAGUCUCUCCCUCCACCCUGGAGGAGCUGCUGGAUGCUAAACUAGCAGGUGUCCGCGCUGACAUCCUGGACGGCUUUGAGAGGCGUCUGUCUGGCCUGGAGAACCACUGUGAGGAGAGGAUAGGAGAGGUCCAGAGACAGUGCCAUAAUGAACACAUGAACGGCCAGGAGCACAUACAGCAGUCUCUGGACGGCAGAGAAACUGGACUGAGAGAGGAGCUGGGUACCCUGCAGGCCCAGAUACAGGGACUGACCCUCACUGAGAGCUGCUGUGGACAGCAGGUGAAUAGCCUGUCACAGAGGAUGUUGAUGCUGGAGGAGUCAGUGAAGGGCUUAAAAGAGUCCCAGCUGGAGCUUCAGGCUUCUCUCACUGACCAGACCAUCCACAUUGAGACCCUGAUAGAGGCCCGUCUGGAAGACAUAGAUGCCAGGCUCAAUGUCACCGAGUCUGGCGACGUAGGGGUUGGUAAGGUGCCUGGGGAUCUGGAUGGCUUCAAGACCCUGCUGAAGGACAAGCUGAAGUCCCUGGAGGAGAGGGUGUUUGUGGCUUUGGAGGAGCUGAGUAACACCACCGCCCCAGCUCUGCUGGAGGGUCAGGUGAUGCCCGCCCUGGAGACAGAGUCGGUCAGGAGGAGGGUUGAAGGAGACCUGGACUGCAUCCAGAGGAAACUCACAGACCUGGAGCUCCUCUGCACCUCCUCCUGCUCCCACGCCACUCCCCCUGGAGGAGGCGCACGGACAGGCCUAGUGGAGGAGUGUGAGGCGGUGGAGAAGAAGGUGUCAGGCCGUCUGGACUCCCAUGCUGACCAGCUGGACCGUCUCAAUACCACCCUGCAGACCCUACUGAGCCGCAUUGCCCAGGAGGACGAGGAAGGCUAUGUCCAGGGAGAGAUCACCCUCCUCAAGAUCAAAGUCAACUCAGUCAACCGCACCCUGAAGGGCCUGAGGGACUCUGUUAGCCUGUUCAGUAAGGAAGUGGGCCAUGCUAAUGCCACGUGGACACACAGGGAGAAUCAGCUAGCCACCCAGGUCCAGGGUAUCACCCAGCUGGUGGGGCGCCAGGCCUACCUCCUGGGGGCCGGGGAGCACCGACUAGCCCAGCUGAAGGGGGAGCUGGUGAGCAUGAGGAGGAGACUGGCUGGGGAGCUGCAGGGCUGCCGGAGUACGGCCCUGGGGGUGCAGAGGGAGGUGGAGGAGGUGGAUAGUCGAGUGGCCCAGGUGGAGGGACAGUGUGGUAGCCUGGGGGAGCUGGCGGACAACCUGGAGAGGAUCAGGACAGAGCUGGAGAGACACUCAGACUUGCACCUGUCACAGGUCAAAGGAACGAUGGCCAGUCACUCCACACAGCUGGCCAAACUGAAGGGAGAAAUGAAAGACUGUGUCGGAAAGGGCUCAGCCAAUCAGAGGGGAGACCAGUAACACUUGUGCUACGGAGAAAGGCGUGUGUCCUCUCAUCUUCUGCUCUCCUUCAUCUGCUCAAAUGGGAAACUUGAAAACAGAUUUAUUCCUGCAUUUUCAGAUCAGUGAAGGAGAGGAGAUGAGUAGAAUAGGCCAUUUGAAGCUAUUGAAAAGCACCCUUGGUUGUAUAGUUGGGCAAUAUUUUCCCUCAAGUUUUUCUUCAAAAGGGGCAUUUAGUUUUUUUCUUAUAGUUUUGUUUUCACAUUUUAUAUUGAUAUUAACUGACUUUUUAACUUAUUUGAAGAAAGGAUGACUUCAUUGUUAUACUGUAUUAGACAUAUUUGUGAAAAAUGAACAACAAAAACAAAGCAAAUAAUAUCCCACUGGGCACAGACGUCAAUUCAAUGUCUAUUCCACAUUUGUUCAACGUAAUUUGAUUGAAAUGAAGUGGAAACAACGUUGAUUCAACCAGUGUGUGCCCAGUGGGUUGGGACUAUGGGUUUCUACCCUGCAAGCACACUCUACUCUCUGUGUGGACUGUCCUUUAAAAAUACUGUAUGUCAAUAUGAAAGGUGCUAUACAUUUGGUUAACAUUCAUUUUUGAGUAUUUCUCCUUAAAGGUCGCGAACAUCAUCAAAAUGACUGUUGAUUCUACAUUGAUAAAGUUGAAUCAUAAAGUCACUGGUCCCCUCCCCCAUGUCAAACGCUUGGAUUCAGGAGGCAGGCCAGAUACUCCUUCCUCUAUCUCUGGACAGGCAUAACCAAGGCUUUACGUCCGGCUUUAUGCAAAGUCACAUGAAGCAGGAAGUGUAAAACCACAACAAUAGCGUCUUAUCAUAUAAACAUAUUAUGUUCUGCCUUACCGACAUCACGUGCGCCUACGCCUUGAUUUGGUCUUGUUAACAAACCAUAAGCCAGUAUCUCGCUCAAACAGAACGUAUGAAGACAUCAGAUAGCCGUGGCUGCUUUUCAUUUCGGGUGGGCAGGCGGCAGCUUUACCAAUUGGGGAGAACAUUCGAUGAGUCGUGCCAAGAAGCUAGUCCUGAAAACGGAUGCCAUCAUAGACAGUGGAUCUUGGAAGCGCUGACCGUAAUGCUACGUAGAGAGGCUCCUAGGUCUCCUCUUCAAUGAGAUCACCUUUGAUCCAGCUCCAUAGGUGAGGAAGCUGUGCGAGCUGUCCAUCGCAGGACACCUGUCUGCCCAGUGUGAGCUGUUGUCUCCCGCUUCAAUCUUUAGGGUGACUGAAGCCUGCUUGAUUGAAGUGGGGUAUAUGGGUUCCUCACCCCUCCCCAUCAAUCUCUGUAGUUGUAUUUCCUGAAUCAUAAGUAAUUAACUUUCACGUGGUAUGAUAUCACAUUUUGUUAUAGAAACGUUUUAAAAAGCAUUUCGGACAGGAGAUGAGUGUUACAAAUUACACAAAUCAAUGGGUCCUGCACACUCUAGGGUGGCCGGGUGCCUAUAUCAGGCACAUGGCUCUAAUUAUGUAUCUGCUGUCAAAUUAUGUCUCACCAUUACUUCUCACCUUUAUUUCUCAUGAGUGUUCUUGUUGAUCUUUUUGCUAUGCUGGCCUAUCAUAGAAUAUAGAAUAAAUGUCUGAUCUUUACAUACAAUCCUGACCAUAUUGUCACUUAUAAUGCUAAUGCAGAGGCACCAAUAAAUUGUCCAGUACACUUAUUGUA
RNA transcript from Oncorhynchus nerka (sockeye salmon), 4634 nucleotides. It is a transcript of the gene named EMILIN-3-like, with no coding region annotated. NCBI's taxonomy places the organism in Eukaryota, Metazoa, Chordata, Actinopteri, Salmoniformes, Salmonidae. The transcript is spliced from 7 exons. The record is from RefSeq and is a predicted model, not a curated record.